RNAcentral lists this ribosomal RNA (214 nucleotides) under uncultured bacterium. RNAcentral describes it as "partial 16S ribosomal RNA". It matches the Rfam family "Bacterial small subunit ribosomal RNA", at positions 1289 to 1500 of the family's 1533-position model. The record is from RNAcentral.
CAGUUCGGAUUGUAGUCUGCAACCCGACUACAUGAAGCUGGAAUCGCUAGUAAUCGCGGAUCAGAAUGCCGCGGUGAAUACGUUCCCGGGUCUUGUACACACCGCCCGUCACACCAUGGGAGUCGGAAAUGCCCGAAGUCUGUGACCCAACCUGAGAGGGAGGGAGCAGCCGAAGGCAGGUCUGAUGACUGGGGUGAAGUCGUAACAAGGUACC